Molecule: non-coding RNA, 289 nt
Filed under: Clostridium homopropionicum
Lineage: Bacteria; Bacillati; Bacillota; Clostridia; Eubacteriales; Clostridiaceae
Also listed under: 1 other name
Description: GlcN6P sequence
Rfam family: glmS glucosamine-6-phosphate activated ribozyme aptamer
About the family: This entry contains a glucosamine-6-phosphate activated ribozyme that is found in the mRNA for GlmS.
Source: RNAcentral
AAAUAUAUUAAAGCGCCAGAGCUAAGCAGGGAGCCUGAAUCAAAGAUUGUCUUAUAGGAAACUCAAACUAAGGUCUGAGUAAGCUCGAAUAAGCCAAAUUAGCACUCUGUGUAAGUGACUUGCACCAAAUCAUAGAUUUGGGCAAUCUACUUAAGAUUUGGAUUCUCGCUUAGCUGACGAGGGUGGGGAGUAUCGAAAAUUCGGCGGAUGCCCCACGGUAUAGUGCUACCGAUAAAGACUGGCAAAACUGAAAAGUAAUUUUCAGUACAAAUUCAGUCAGGCACUCACA